AUGUUGUAUGAAAAGUUAGCGUUUCGCUUGACAAGUAAGGAAUGGCCUCCGGGCCGAAACACAUGAUAUUAUACUUAUUGCCAGUUUCAGCUGGAAUUUUAUCCAGCUGUUAC
Molecule: non-coding RNA, 113 nt
Filed under: Stegodyphus mimosarum
Lineage: Eukaryota; Metazoa; Arthropoda; Arachnida; Araneae; Eresidae
Source: RNAcentral